UCUUCUCCUCAAGGGUAAUCUUAACCUAUCCUAUUUGGCGGCCUUCAAUCUUAUUAGAGGAACUUGUUGUUUAACCGAUGAUACGCGAUAUUUUUAACUUAGACCUAAUUUUUAUACCUCCGUCCAAAGGAUAAAAUUAAAUAUUUUAUUCAUUCCACACCUCUUCAAGUAACAAUGUCAGGUCGAGGUGAAGUAAAUGUUUAAGUUUCAAUGAGUUAUCAAUAAAUAUAAUUUAUGGACUUUUGUUUAAAACUAGAAAUCGAAUUAAGAUUUAAAAGUAUUUUCAGUUCAGUACAUUGGAAAGAAUAAGCAAAAAAGGUGUACAUAUCGCCCGUCGCCCUCGUCUAAAGAGGAGGUAAGUCGUAACACAGUUAAUAUACUGGAAAGUGUAUUAGGUGAAUUUCUUCUUAGCUUUUAGUAUUUCAUUUACACUGAAAAGAUCCCAUUUUUAUUCAUUUCCAAUUUUUCAUGAAUAAAAUCUUUGCGCUUUUACUUAUCUAAUUCAAGCUUUCAAAAACUGAAAAGGUUCAUCAUAAUAUUAUUUAAGUAAAUAUAUGUACCUUUUGUAUCAGGGAUUUUCUAAUCGUAAUGUGAACUCCAAACUCCCGAAACAAGACGAUCUUCGCAUCCUAGUAAAAGUUAUGGCAUAAACAAUAUAAACUCUGCGAAGUUGAGAUAUUCUUUUCAAGUCUUCCCUUAUCUGGUUCACUCCCCCCCCUCAUUUAGCAUUAUACAAAGAAUAAGCUUAGUAUUCAAGGUUUUUCACCUUUCCUCACCUUAAUCUAGAUUUAACAGUAUCCACAUUGUUUUCAAACUCUUUCCUUUUACCAUCUAAACAUACCCUGAGUGAUCUACCCCACCCCUUUACAAUGAAAAUAUCAGUAAAAUUUUUUCCUUUUCCCUAUUUCUUUGAAACCCUUUCCCUCCCUGUAAAUUUACAUUGAGAUCAUGAACUAGGCCCUCAAUCAAUUGACUGUUUACCAAAAACAUAGCUAAUAGGUUUCAAUUACUAGUAGUACCUGCUCCAUGAAAAAUAAAUAGCCGCAAA
Molecule: ribosomal RNA, 1048 nt
Filed under: Calisoga sp. K2 DHL-215
Lineage: Eukaryota; Metazoa; Arthropoda; Arachnida; Araneae; Nemesiidae
Description: partial 12S ribosomal RNA
Source: RNAcentral